AGUGAACGCUGGCGGUAGGCCUAACACAUGCAAGUCGAACGGCAGCACAGUAAGAGCUUGCUCUUACGGGUGGCGAGUGGCGGACGGGUGAGGAAUACAUCGGAAUCUACUUUUUCGUGGGGGAUAACGUAGGGAAACUUACGCUAAUACCGCAUACGACCUACGGGUGAAAGCAGGGGAUCUUCGGACCUUGCGCGAUUGAAUGAGCCGAUGUCGGAUUAGCUAGUUGGCGGGGUAAAGGCCCACCGAGGCGACGAUCCGUAGCUGGUCUGAGAGGAUGAUCAGCCACACUGGAACUGAGACACGGUCCAGACUCCUACGGGAGGCAGCAGUGGGGAAUAUUGGACAAUGGGGGCAAGCCUGAUCCAGCCAUACCGCGUGGGUGAAGAAGGCCUUCGGGUUGUAAAGCCCUUUUGUUGGGAAAGAAAAGCAGCAGGUUAAUACCCCGCUGUUCUGACGGUACCCAAAGAAUAAGCACCGGCUAACUUCGUG
This 492-nucleotide ribosomal RNA is filed under the name uncultured bacterium. Its description in RNAcentral is "partial 16S ribosomal RNA". It matches the Rfam family "Bacterial small subunit ribosomal RNA", at positions 29 to 507 of the family's 1533-position model. The record is from RNAcentral.